RNAcentral lists this ribosomal RNA (279 nucleotides) under uncultured bacterium. Its description in RNAcentral is "partial 16S ribosomal RNA". It matches the Rfam family "Bacterial small subunit ribosomal RNA", at positions 506 to 784 of the family's 1533-position model. The record is from RNAcentral.
UGCCAGCAGCCGCGGUAAUACGGGGGGUGCAAGCGUUGUCCGGAAUCAUUGGGCGUAAAGGGUUCGUAGGUGGAAUUGUAAGUCUGGUGUGAAAGCCCACAGCUCAACUGUGGAACUGCACUGGAUACUGCUUUUCUUGAAUUACAGAGGGGGUUGUGGAAUUUCUGGUGUAGAGGUGAAAUUUGUAGAGAUCAGAAAGAACACCGGUGGCGAAGGCGACAACCUGGCUGUUAAUUGACACUAAUGAACGAAAGCGUGGGGAGCGAACAGGAUUAGAUA